UACGGAGGGUGCAAGCGUUAUCCGGAUUCACUGGGUUUAAAGGGUGCGUAGGCGGGCGUAUAAGUCAGUGGUGAAAUCCUGGAGCUUAACUCCAGAACUGCCAUUGAUACUAUAUGUCUUGAAUAUGGUGGAGGUAAGCGGAAUAUGUCAUGUAGCGGUGAAAUGCAUAGAUAUGACAUAGAACACCUAUUGCGAAGGCAGCUUACUACGCCUAUAUUGACGCUGAGGCACGAAAGCGUGGGGAUCAAACAGG
This 253-nucleotide ribosomal RNA is filed under the name uncultured bacterium. RNAcentral's name for it is "partial 16S ribosomal RNA". It matches the Rfam family "Bacterial small subunit ribosomal RNA", at positions 524 to 776 of the family's 1533-position model. The record is from RNAcentral.